GGCGGCGUACCUAAUACAUGCAAGUCGAGCGAACUGAUUAGAAGCUUGCUUCUAUGACGUUAGCGGCGGACGGGUGAGUAACACGUGGGCAACCUGCCUGUAAGACUGGGAUAACUUCGGGAAACCGAAGCUAAUACCGGAUAGGAUCUUCUCCUUCAUGGGAGAUGAUUGAAAGAUGGUUUCGGCUAUCACUUACAGAUGGGCCCGCGGUGCAUUAGCUAGUUGGUGAGGUAACGGCUCACCAAGGCAACGAUGCAUAGCCGACCUGAGAGGGUGAUCGGCCACACUGGGACUGAGACACGGCCCAGACUCCUACGGGAGGCAGCAGUAGGGAAUCUUCCGCAAUGGACGAAAGUCUGACGGAGCAACGCCGCGUGAGUGAUGAAGGCUUUCGGGUCGUAAAACUCUGUUGUUAGGGAAGAACAAGUACAAGAGUAACUGCUCGUACCUUGACGGUACCUAACCAGAAAGCCACGGCUAACUACGUGCCAGCAGCCGCGGUAAUACGUAGGUGGCAAGCGUUAUCCGGAAUUAUUGGGCGUAAAGCGCGCGCAGGCGGUUUCUUAAGUCUGAUGUGAAAGCCCACGGCUCAACCGUGGAGGGUCAUUGGAAACUGGGGAACUUGAGUGCAGAAGAGAAAAGCGGAAUUCCACGUGUAGCGGUGAAAUGCGUAGAGAUGUGGAGGAACACCAGUGGCGAAGGCGGCUUUUUGGUCUGUAACUGACGCUGAGGCGCG
RNAcentral lists this ribosomal RNA (736 nucleotides) under Priestia megaterium. Its description in RNAcentral is "bacterial SSU rRNA". It matches the Rfam family "Bacterial small subunit ribosomal RNA", at positions 38 to 755 of the family's 1533-position model. The record is from RNAcentral. Lineage: Bacteria; Bacillati; Bacillota; Bacilli; Caryophanales; Bacillaceae.